GCGAGUAUGCUACGUAGGUGACCUGCGGAGGAUCAUUACCGAGUGCGGGCUGCCUCCGGGCGCCCAACCUCCCACCCGUGACUACCUAACACUGUUGCUUCGGCGGGGAGCCCUCUCGGGGGCGAGCCGCCGGGGACUACUGAACUUCAUGCCUGAGAGUGAUGCAGUCUGAGUCUGAAUAUAAAAUCAGUCAAAACUUUCAACAAUGGAUCUCUUGGUUCCGGCAUCGAUGAAGAACGCAGCGAACUGCGAUAAGUAAUGUGAAUUGCAGAAUUCAGUGAAUCAUCGAGUCUUUGAACGCACAUUGCGCCCCCUGGCAUUCCGGGGGGCAUGCCUGUCCGAGCGUCAUUGCUGCCCAUCAAGCCCGGCUUGUGUGUUGGGUCGUCGUCCCCCCCGGGGGACGGGCCCGAAAGGCAGCGGCGGCACCGUGUCCGGUCCUCGAGCGUAUGGGGCUUUGUCACCCGCUCGAUUAGGGCCGGCCGGGCGCCAGCCGACGUCUCCAACCAUUUUCUUCAGGUUGACCUCGGAUCAGGUAGGGAUACCCGCUGAACUUAAGCAUAUCAAUAGGCCGGAGGAA
RNAcentral lists this ribosomal RNA (577 nucleotides) under Aspergillus sp. B-8. RNAcentral describes it as "eukaryotic LSU rRNA". The stretch from base 195 to 348 matches the Rfam family "5.8S ribosomal RNA". The record is from RNAcentral. Lineage: Eukaryota; Fungi; Ascomycota; Eurotiomycetes; Eurotiales; Aspergillaceae.